This 837-nucleotide long non-coding RNA is filed under the name Elaeis guineensis (African oil palm). RNAcentral's name for it is "long non-coding RNA (EGUI_LNC018466)". Lineage: Eukaryota; Viridiplantae; Streptophyta; Magnoliopsida; Arecales; Arecaceae. The record is from RNAcentral.
AACCGAAAGUCAACAUUUCUUUCCAAGGCAACCUUUCUUGCAGAAAGAGGGAUCUUACUUGGGGUUAUGGGAGAAGAGGCUUGAACAGAAACUUGAGCAGUCCUCUUCUUUCUUUCUUCAGCUUCCAAUAGCCUCACAGACUUUCUUCUUUGUGGCAGCCGCAUCUUGGGGGCCAUUGUCCCAAUGAGAGCAAGAGAACCGACUAAGAGAGUAGAGAAGGGUGAAAGAUAGAUGGAAAUGAAGAGAAGGGAUUUUGAGGUGAUUGUUUCGGAUUUCAAAGAUUAGGGCUUAAGGUUCUGAUGGAGAGCAAGAAGGAGAGGGUUUUGAUCAAGGAUAUGCCGAGAGGAUGUGUUUACCCUAGAUUUGAGGUAAAAAUCAAAGAUUUUGGGCGGUUAAGGAGAUGGAUUUAGAAGAUUAUGGCCGGUGAAGAGCUUGGAGAAGGGUUUUGAUUUGGGAUGAGAAGAGGAGGAAGAAGCAUAGUAAUUGAGUCACCCCACUUAGAUUUUAAGUGAGAAAAUUAAACGGGUCGGCCCAACAAAAUCCACUUACUCGAUCAAUUGGGACGUCCCAUGGGUCGUUCCAUCCAGAAAAAAUUCAGAUGAUGAGAAAAUAAUUCAAAAAUGAGAAAAAAAAAUCAAAAGAAAAAAUUUGAAAGGAUUUGUAUCGACUUGAGAUGAUCGUGUAGAGUUCAGGUAAAUUUUGGUAUGAUUUUUGAUGAAGAAUUUCAAUGGAAAAAAUUUGAGAUCAUAUCCUGAUUUGAAAUAAUCUUAAAAAAAAAAGAUGCCUUUCAAAAUUAAGAUGAUGAAGUCAAGAGAUUUUGGGAGUGAAAUUAUGAUG